Tympanuchus pallidicinctus (lesser prairie-chicken) is the source of this 11584-nucleotide long non-coding RNA. RefSeq lists it as uncharacterized. The transcript is spliced from 2 exons. The record is from RefSeq and is a predicted model, not a curated record. Lineage: Eukaryota; Metazoa; Chordata; Aves; Galliformes; Phasianidae.
AUCAGGUGCAGAGGAGCAGGCACCAUCCUAAUCUGAAAUUGCUCAUUUGCUUGAAAAGUUAAGCAAUCUCUAACUAUAGAAGGGCUAUUCACGCUAAUUACACUGCUGUUAUAGAAAUAAUUAAGCAGCAAUUCAUUGCAGGUGCAGUAUCGUUGUAGGAAUAACAUUACUAACAGGGGCAGAGCAGAGGUGCAGUAGGAGAAAUGUGCCAUUAGGUGUGCCAUUGGUGAAGGCGCUGAAAAGACCUCAGCAGGCUGAUGGGCUACAGAAAGCCACUGUGGCCAGAUUUCCAUGAUAGGAGUAUUCAAGCCCUCUGCUGGGCACACUGGGGAAUACUGGCCUGAUGCUUGGCCACAAGCAAGCAGCUGGGGAAAGCAAGCAAACUUGCACCAACCCCAGGUGGUUGCUAGAGGCAGGUAAGCUGCUGGGAACUGGGUGUUUGGGAGUGGUACUAAACAAAAAACGAUGUGAGAUUUAAGUUUUUCAUGGUUGUAGUUUAACUGAAGCUCAGGCUCCUGAAAAGAAGCAGCAUAAGCAUCAGUUAGUUAACCCAAUAAAAGGAAAGGUAUUUUUUUCUUAAGGAAGAAAUUCUUUACUGUGAGAGUGGUGAGACACACUGGAACAGGUUGCCCAAUGAGGCUCUGAAUGCCACCUUGCUGGAAGCAUUCAAGGCCAGGCUGGAUGGGGCUUUGAGCAACCUGGUCUAGAGCGAGGUGUCCCUGCCUAUAGCGGGGGAUUGGAACUAAGUGAGCUUAAAGGUCCCUUCCAACCCAAACCAUUCUAUGAUUCUUAAAAAUGGGGGCAGUGGGGGAACCAUUUAUUAAUUUCCCUGCUAGGCACAUAAGAUGUGGGGAAAAUAAGCUUUCUCAGUUUGCACAUUAGUCAUCAGAAGUGUUGGUGGCACUUUUCCCACCACUCUAGUUGAAGGCUCAUCCCUUCGUACACUGCUGCUUUAGUAGAUUAAAAUGUAGUCAUCAAUGCCAGCUUGUACAUAAACCUUAAUAGUCAGAGAUCAGGCUAAGAACUAUCAUUGCUGUUUUUUGUUAAAUCAAUUUAAAAUAUUAGAUCCAUAAAAGCUUUAAGAAAGGGCUAUGGUGGUUUUAUCUGCUGCCUGUAUUGCUAACUCUGAGAACCACUGGGCUUUUUGCUUUGCUAAUGACUAAUUUUUCUAGCAUUUAAGGCUGGAAUUUGCUCUUCAGACCAACCGCAUCCUUGCUGUAGUGCCACCGACUUCAAGUGAAAAAAACAGCAACUAACUGGCCUCACAAUUCCUUCUAAUUUUUAUUCUUUUUAUGUAUUGUGUACAGUGCUUGUCUAAAAGGAGCAGCAAUUAUUUUGCUUUCUACAGUUUGUCUACAAAAUCUGUACAAAGAAGGGUUCAUCAGCAAUUUCUGGCAGGCUGGCGAGAGGUGGAGUUUAUGGAAGAGGAGAUCAGCUCAAAGCCACCCAGCUCCCACCCCGGGAGUUCAGCAGGAGCAAGUAAAUCAUUUCCCCAGGCAAUAAUUCCAUAGCCUGCAUGGGAAGCAGCUGACUGUGCCAGAGUCCUGAAGUGCCUGGACUGAGGUAUGUUCACAAAGUGCUUUAGUGACAGAAGAACUCUGGACAAUGCACAUCUUUUGGUCCCAGUUUGUUAAAAGAACUUGGUUGCUGUCUGAACCAAGGCUGCCAGAUAAGUUACAGCAGCAGCAAAGAGAAAAAGACUUGUAGCUUGUUUAAGCAUUAUCACUGUGUAAACGAGGUGUUCCUUACUGAUCAAGUAGGUUAAAACACGCAUGUAUUUGUGUUCUAAGGGCAACACCUCUUUUUGUGGCAGAAAUAGAUUACUUUUCUAUUGGAGUCAAUGCUGCUUUCCAGUUUCAAGCCACUGGGACGGCUGCUUAAUUCAGAUGUCUCUUCACACAGGGAAGGGACCAAAUUGGAUGUUUCUCAUGGCCCAGCAGUAUGCGAGCAGUGCGCUCUAAGCUGCUUUAGCUCAAAGCGAUUAUGUAAGUUAACCUGUGCAAGCUGUUUUCUAUAAAAGGAACAAGUGGUAUUUUUAGCAGGCUUUAUGGAGUUGCUUGGCAAGGGGAAGAAACAGGAGAUGCCUCAGCACCUGAUCCAGCCCCUGUCACCACCACAGUGACUACGAUCACUGGGUUUGGAUGUGAGAGGGUGCAUCCAUGUUACUGGACCCGUUCUUAAUAAUCUUUCCUAAUGCCAGUUUUUAUUCAGCUUCCUGUGCCAUUGAGCAUUUUCUGCAUCCCUAACUGGCCUUCAGCAGGGUCAGAGGGGCUCCCUGUGCUCUGUUAGAGAGAUCCUGGGGAGAUCCUACCUCCCUCAGCACCUUGCUGACCAUGGUUUGCUCUUACCUCUUAGUAAGGAAGGACACCUACCCCACAUGCACAAAAAAACAAAACAAAACAAAACAAAAAAAAAACAAGGGGGAAAAAAACCAACUUGUAUUAGGCUGGGAUUUGUAGCUGUCUUCCUUUUUGUUACUACCUAGUGUGCAUUUACCUAUUUUUCCCCAUUUUCAUAACAGGAACAUGCUGACUCCUGCAGAGAAUGGUUGUCUGGAAAUAACCAUUGUCUUCAGGCUCAAGUUCUAUUCUAAUUUGAGGCACAACUUUUACUGGAGUUCGUGGAGGGCUGCGAAGAAAAAGAAGACAAGGUAGGUAAGUGUAUGGACUAACGUCAUGUAUUUCAGUAAUGCUUGAUGCGCUCUGCAGCGCUCAGCUGAAUUCUGAAGAGUGCAUUUUCUGAGGGAUCAGUUCCUGAAAAACUGUGCAACUCCAAGAUGAAAAGAUAUAAACAAAACAGAGUGGCAGCUGGUUCACACCUCAAAAACUGCAGAUCCUAGUACUUACUGGGCACAGCAUGCUGUCACAUCUAGAAAUGGAAAAAAUGCUCAACUCCCAAUACCAAGUGUAUCAGCACAGACCAGUGCAACACAGCUUUCUGAAACUGGAGCUUACAGACACCAAAUAAAUAACUCAGAUGGGAACUGGUAAUAGAAAGCUCUCUUUGCUACCAGAACUUAUUGAUAGGCCUGUGCAUCACGUAAUAUUAUUUAAAUGAAUUGGUCCAAACACUGCUCAUGUCAGGGACUAAGCCUACUGAUUUUGUUAACAGAGGAGCUCCACAUACCCAGAACUUGUGCUUCACACAACUAGCUGCCUGUUCAUAUAUUUUUAAGUCAUUUAAUUUUUUCCCAUGUGGACAUGUUUUUCUAGACUUUUCCCAGUUGUUCCACAACUUUUUGCUGAUUUGGACCCCAAGACCUACAUGAGUACUGCGGCUGGGGUCUAACAUAAGGCCAGCAGAGUACUUAUGUAAGCUAGUCACUCUCUCCACACUAUAAGGCCAUGCUGGGAACAUAACAACUGCACAUUAGAAAUUCUCUCCAAGUGUUUUCUAAGAGUUUCCUGUAGACAGACAGGGACUUCGCCAUUGUGGUAUUUCGGUGCACUGUGGCACAUACAAAUUGCAUUUUACAAGUACUUACCUUGGCAUAGUGUGUGACUGAAGAAAAGGAAUUUUAUCAGCACGACGUAUGGCGUUCAAGGAAUGUUGGUGAUUUUUCUUCUGUCAGGGAGGAGAGAAAAGAUCUUUUUUGUCAUUGCAUGCAGCACUGAUGGUUUCUUAAACCCAGCAAACUCUCACAUGUAUUUAGCAGUGCUUUUAACUGCUGACUUCCUUCUAUAUUAAUUUCACAGCUGGUAAAUGAACAUAAUAAAGUUAAGUCUCUCCUCCAACAUACAGAAUCUGAACUGCCAAAACAAUGGUGAUUGAUUUGCAGGGACUGCCCUGUGAGCUGCAUUCAGCUGCAUGCUGAAUGCAUGCGUAUGCAGUUGUACAGCCAGGAGCAGUCACUUAGCUGCCACAGAAGAGGCUGCUGAGCUGCUCCAAGUAAACAGCCCAUGGGAAAACUCACUUUGUAUUCACCAGGCCUGCACUGCAGCAUAGCAAAGGGUGUCCACUUCAUGUAUGCUUCCCGGGGGAAGCCACAAGACACUGACUGCAAAGCUGGUCUCAGCCCAGCGUGAGGCACGAGCGUUUAUGUGUCUGUUUUGUGCUUAGAGUUGCCUGACAAAAAGGAGUUGGGAAUCCCUCAAUCAGGGCUUGAGCACACAAAGCCUAGAUGGGAAAUUCCCAAAUUCCAUCUCAGAAAAAUUACUCUGUUUCUUGGCCUCUUUUCAGCACGUUUACAUCUUGAUACUUACCUUUCAUCUACAACUUAAGUUACCCUGUGUUCCCCCACUGUAGCAUCCAAACUCCUUGCAUGAAAACAGGUGGCUUGUUGCCUGUAAUCACAUUCAUUUCCUGACCAGCAUGGUGAAAUGUACUCGUUUUUAAUAAUAAUUCUAUUCUUGCUAUUGCUGAAGGGAAGCUAAAGAGUAAAAAAUGAAUUUUGUGUUUGAACAGAGAAACAGCUGGAAUUCACUUCUCUGCCUUAGUAAUUGAAGGGUAAAUAAUUUGUCAAGCACUCUGAAGAUGCAAAAUAUGCUCAAGUACUGAAUGCUAUUAGUAUUAUUAUUAAUAUACUUUGAGUCUUGGAGCACUGGGUGAGUAGGGUAAGACCAUGAUGUGGAUGGAUUCCAGCUACUUUUGCUAAUACAAGAGCCUGAUUUCUUUUUUUUUUUUUUUUUGCCUUGUUACUAAAUAAAAGCUGACAAAUCAAUUUCUGAUUCAUAAUACUGCACACAUACACAAACAAACAAACUGCUGCUUGGCCCAUGGACGUCUUACCCCAUGUUGUCUGAAAGGGCAAUCCAACAAACAGGUUUGUGGCAGAAGUAUUACCAUUUCCCUAAUUAUUUCAACCCUGAUGAACAGUGUACCCAAUUGUAAGAUCCUGUGCAACAUGUAAGAUGAACUUGGUUUAAGCAUAUCAGGGCAUUUUCACAGAAAAGUGAAGAUGGUCUGUUAGGUUCAAGGUUGUUACACUGAGAGUAUGCAAUUAGUAAAGUAGUUGUCUUUGGCUUUGUUUUAGAAUGUUAAUCUCUUAAGUGUUCAUUUAUCUAAAAACACAAUGCAAUGCUUAGGGUUGCCAAAUGCCACCACCAAAAGCCAAGAUAGUUAAAGACCACCUCCUAAUCACAAAUCCUACUUAAGGAAUCUAAAGAUCAGUGUUUCCAGGUCUUAUUCCUAGAAAUCUUAUCACCAGUAAUGCAGCAGUACUGAUUUACUGUUAUCAUUUGUUCCCAUCUUGUGACAAAACAGCAUAUUUAUCUGAAGACUGAACUCACUGCUCAUAAUAUUGUCAGAAGUCGCUGCAAAGGCAAAAAAGCUCAUGUCAGUUGUUACUUCUUAUUCCUCUCUUAAAAGACUAUGAGAAGUUAAAGUGACUGAAAAUUAAGGCGUAGUUGAGUUGGAGACCUGUAGCUAGCAGUGUUCCCCAAGCACCAGUACAGCAUCUGGUAUUGUUCAACAUCUUCAUCAAUGAUUUGGAAGAAGGGAUACAGUCCACCCUCAGCAAGUUUGUUGAUGAUGCAAUACUGGGAGGAGUGGCUGACAGAUGAGACGUCUGUGAUACCUUUCAGAGAGACCUGGGUGGGCUGGGGAGUUGGGAACCUGAUGAGGGUUCAACAAAGGCAACAGUCCUAUGCAUGGAGAGGAAUAACCAUAUGCACCAGUACAGGUUAGGGGCUGAACUGAUGGAAAGGAGCUAUGCAGAGGACACCCAAGGUGUCCUGGUGGAUUACAGGUUGACCAUGAACCAGGAGUGUGCCCUUGUGGCCAAGAAGGCCAGUGGGACCCUGGGGUGCAUUAAACAGAUCAUGGCCAGCAUGUCAACAGAGGUUCUCCUCCCCCUCUACUCUGCCUUGGUAAAGCCUCAUCUGGAGUACUGUGUCCAGUUCUGGGCUCCCCAGUUCCAGAAAGACAGGGAACUCCUAGAGAGAGUCCAGUGGAGGGCCACAAAAAUGACUGGGGGCCUGGAGCAUCUCCCCUAUGAGAAAGGGCUGAAAGACCUGGGAUUUUCAGUCUGGAGGAGACUAAGAGGAAGAUCUUAUCAAUGCUUAGAAAUCUCUAAAGGGCAGGUGUCAAGAGAAUGGGGCCAAGCUAUUUUUGGUGGUGCCCAGUGACAAGACUAGGGGCAACAGACAAAAACCAGAAUACAGGAAUUUCCACUGAAACAUGAGAAAGAAAUUCUUUACUUUGAGUAUGACAUAGCACUGGAACAGGCUGCCCAGAGAGGCUGUGGUUCCUUCUUUGGAGAUAUUCAAAACCCUCCUGGAAGCUUUCUUGUACAACCUACUGUAAGGGAACAUGCUAUUGCAGGGAGUUUAGACUGGAUGAUCUCUAGCGGUCCCUUCCAACCCCCCUACCAUUCCUUGAUUCCAGGAUAUUAACCUAAGAAAUAGAAAGACACAAUAGCACAAAAGCAAGUCACCUAAGAAGGGAAAUGUGUUAAAGGUCAAAUGAUCACUGCCUUGUCAGUGUAAUGAAUAAUGUGAAUCAAUGACAUGCUUAAUUAUUCUUUCAAAGUGCUGAGUUUUGCAACUGCUUGGAACCUAAGGAAAUAAACAGUAACAGGACAGAAAUGCAGUUCAGAAUGCUGCAAAUCCAGAGCAAUAGACUCAGGAAAAAUAAACGCAAGCCAUCAGCAAAUUUAACAUAAAAUGGCAAAGGUCAGAAAUGGACUGAGUGGAUGGGGGAGUUACAGAGAGGAGGAGAAAGGAAGUUAUCAUGAAACAUAGCUGGACAAAAGCAGUUUAAGCUGGAGGCACCAAAAGAAAUAACACAGAUUUUGGAAAGAAAAAAGAAUACAUAAAAACAAAGCCAAAUACUGUCAUAAAUCAGAGACCUGGAAAUUAAAAACAAACAAAAACCCCACACUUCUGAAACAAUAGAAAAGCUUUAAAAAAAAUUAAUUUAUAUAUAUAUUUUGUACUGCACGUCAGAGUCACGCAGGCAUGCAAGAGGUUAGUUCUACUCACUGUCGGCAGGUUUGCUAUCACUUAGGAAAGGUUCCUGCUCCAUGAUGUCCAUUGGUAUUUUAAUACUUGGGACUUUUUCUGAGUAGGGGCAGUCAGACUGUGAAAGAAACGUGUAAAAGUUCUUAGAAAAUUUCCACUGCUCUCUUACUGUCACCCACAAAUUAAUAUUAUCCUUCACAUAAUUUCUGUAGAAAUCAGGAGAAAAGUAAAAGAAAAAGAAGGAAUUCUGUAGACCAGCUGAUGGCCUCUUGAUUUUAAACUGGAUCCCUCUUGCACCUUACUUUCCCUCUUCACACUAUGGAAGUAAAGCAGACUGAAAGAAUAAUCUUAUCUAAGUAAGCGUUAUCUUUUCCUCUCUCCACCUCACCAGUUCCUAUGCUACUAGUUUAUAAGACACAAUCUGAGUCAGCUUGGGGUUGACUACAGGAAAUAAUGGAUUAAACAUGCAUUUGUUGGCAGAAAUGAUAGGGCACUGGCUCCUGAGAAAUCUCACCAAAAAGUUUCUAUUCUUAUUGUGAUUCCUGUGAAUUAUAGCAGGACAAUCUCUAUAUUUUUUUCUCCCUCCAAACUGUUCUACAAGGAAGUAUCAGGCAGACAAUCUUUAACUUCUGUUGUACAAAGAAAGAGUUUUCCUCUUUCUAUUUGUUACUUAAAUAAAGUCAGAGCUAGUCCCAAUUAUACCCCUGUUUACAAUAAGAUAUUUCAUCAAAUCCAGAAUUCAUGUAAUCACACCACACAGGAGAUAUGGCAGACUGUUCAAGAAGAAUUACAAGCGCAGAGAAAAGCUGUACUUGUUAGCAAGCCUUACUCCAAGAUAGCUUUCUGCUGAAGUCAGCGAGCUUUUGCUCAAAUUAUCAGCACUCUGUGACCACUGAGUCCCCACUGUGUCCCACUGGUUCCAAUAAUAACCCACUUGCUUGUGCUUAGAAGGUGCUGAAUUACUUGGCUUUUAAUUAAUUAAUUAAUUUAUUUAUUUUUAUAAAACAGUUUAUUGUAACCAGAGAAGGGCUGAUACUGUUUGACUUGGCAAAGAAAUUAAGGUGAUACACGCCAAGUGAUAUGUGCCAGAAACGUUAACCUAGCUUUAUUCCUAGAGAGAACGAGACAAAGUAUGAAGUAUAACACUGCACUGGGGGGAAUCUGACCUAAAAGUCAGAGUAGGAAAACAUUACAGAAACCAGAAAAUCGCUCUCCAUGCGUCUUCUUUUUAGCUUGUUUUGUUUGUUUGUUUUUUAAUGUUACAGACAUCCAGUGCAAUGCUGUGUGUACUCCACUAGCAAAAUGUUUCCUCAGAUGUGUGCAUAUAUAUGCACAUUACUUAUUUUUAACAAAGCUAUAUAUAAGCAUAGCUCAAAUAAAUUCUAAAAAGACAUGGAGGCAAUAAAGCCAUACCAGAAUUCCCAUCCAUUUGGAGCUAUGUUGUAAGCGAGCUAAGAGUUGAGUAAUCCAUCCAACAUAUUACUGUUCUGCUGCUAAUAAAUAAAAGAUCUGUGGAAUGGGAGUGCUCAUACUCGAGCUGCUUUAAACUUGACCAUGUAAAAAGAAAAAAAGAGAUAGAGAAAAUGCCUAUGGUUGGCGAAAGUACUCUAAAGGGGAAAAGAGGCUAUCACACAUCACUUCUGAUUCUUAACCUAAAUAUAACGUCCCAGUGUCUUUUUUAACAAUUGGCUGGUGCUUCCUGGAUCAUGCAUUUUGGACAUAAAAUCUGAGACAGAAUUCAACUUUCCACUACACACAAGCUUAGGUAAAUCCAGCAAUUAGUGGUUGUAAUUUUCACCAAGUUACUGAAAAACUUUCUUUGCAGCUCCUUUCUUGCUGUCCCUAACUGCCAGCAAACCCCCAGUGAGAACUAAUAGUAAAUCCUAACUCGUGCUAAAGAGUGGUCUCUGUUAAUGCCAGGUUUUGCUGUGCUUGUUUACAUAACACCACUUGAAUUCACAACGUCCAGCAAUUCUUCUCUCAACUCUUAUCAGUAGAAUGCCUGCAAAACCCCACAGUACUAAUUUUAAUUUUAAAGAGGCAUAUUUCUGGAAUGGAAAGGGUGACAAUAAUCAAACCAAUAACACCAAGUGCUUUAUGUUCAGGAAGCUGGCAAAAGCAAGUGCUGGAAAAAAAAAACAAGAACAAGUUGAGUAAGAACAUUUUGCAUAAAUUCUGUUACCCACGUGAUUGAGUACUGUACCUGAAAGUCUAUGAGGUUUGAAAUACACCAGAUACAGGAGACAUGGCUAGGGAUACUAUACUGCUGGAUUCAGAUCAAUCAUAAUGAAGGAAAUGAGUCAAACCUUUGUUGACUUUUCAGUAUGUACAGCAGGACAUCUUCUUUCACUUUCAGUCAUACAAAUCUACUGAAGGAAACCCUUGACCUUGGCUUUCCACAUGCUGGAGCCAUUGAAAUGAAAAGGGAGGCCUGUGCAAGGAACACCUUUCUACACACAGUAGUACAUAAAUGCGUGUAUCCUGGGGUGAGGUAGCUUGCAGAGGAUGGCACACUAUUGAAACAUCAGUGUCAGAAUUUUUACAUCCUGUUUCACUGGAGUAAUAGAAGAGAAAAAGCAUUUCUUAUGUUGUCUCCCACAGCCGAGAGGGACAACGUGGGAAUGUGCACAUGUGUUUUUCUGUUGAUGUGAUACCGAUAACGUAGAAGUCUUGGAUCUCAUCAGCAUGUUCUUAGGUGAGACCUUUCCUGAUGCUUGAAGCUUCUGCUUUCCCUAUUAGUCAUACAGGCAUGAGCUGAAAGUCUCAGCAGGACCUGUACUGCUAAGAAAUGCGUCCUCAAGAUUUCUUGAUAGAAGAGUGCAGGAACAGAGUAGUCUAGUGGUCAGUGCCUGCUAGGAAGGAAGGGAAAGGGGAGUUUGCUGUCUGAAAUAAGGACUAAUCUUCAGAGCUGGGAUUCAGCCUGAUUUCAUGAGGAGUGGAUCCAAGCUACCUCCUAUGUCACCGCACCCUCACUACAAAAUUCCUAGUUUUGAUUCUUGUAUUUCCUGCAUUAUAGAGCAUACAUUCUCUGAAGAAAGGCCACUGUAUAUUUUUUCACUGGAAUAGCUGGACUUUGUUGCCUCUAACACAGCUGUCACGUAAGGGACUUGAGCUCCAGCGUGUUCUCCAUCUGGGUCGUGGUUGUGUUUUCUGUCCUUCCUACCUUGAGUAAGGCCAGGCAUCAGAAUGAUCUGGAGGAACUCUUGGAGCUGCCAUAUUACACUAGAAGACACAUUAUCUCACUCAUCUGAUUGCAUAAACAGGGCUACUGUGGCAAUUCUGCUCAGUACAGGAAAGAUACAGAUGAUACACAGUAGAAAAAGCAGAAGUGCUGCAGGACUGCUCUGCUGUACUGUCACCUCACAGUGUGGUGGCAGCAGUGCUUCCCACAGCUAACCAUGGCUUGCUUGCACUUUCCUAAGGCUUCACUGCAAAAAAUGCUUCUGGGAAAUAACACUGACCCAGUAGCUCCUUCUUCAGGAAUUUCCUUUUCCUGAGGUCGCUGUUACCCACUUUGCAUCAACCAAAAAGGCCAGGGGGCAAGCAGGCAAACAACUGAGGUUGCUGUUCCUCUGUCGUACCACACAAGACUUCAGAACUUGGGUAUUCCUGGCUGCAGGUUAGUGAGCUAGGUGUGAAUGUACAAGAAUGGGUCAGCUGGCUUUUCCUCCCAAGGCAUAAUGCCUUCUCAUUUUAUUUCUCCAGCUCUGUAUCGAUGUGGUAUUUUCCAGCCCCAGGUGAUCUUUGUCUAAAUCACAUGAAAAGUCUUUCUUCAUUAACUCUGGAAAUUACACAAGCAGAACUUCUGACGCUAUGUCAGUGUUCUCCAUGUAGCUCAUAAUUAAUGAAGCUUAGCUCCCUUGGUACACAGUCAUCCAGCAAAAAAUGAUGCAGACUGAGGCAACCAGCUUUCUGAAGGAAGUUCACAUUUAUAUAUGAAGUGCUCUGUAAUCAGUGUGUUCACCACUUUCAUUUAAGUUUAUAGAAUUUGAGUUCCCACGAGGUCUGGGUAGGAAAAUGUUUGAAGGCACAAGUACCACAUUUCGUCUUAUUACAUCUACAAUAAAAAGUAUCAUUUUCUAAGGCACAUGGUCUAAUCAGGUUACCACACUUAGUACUGAAUUAGCAAGGUAAGUUAAACUACUACAGUUUCUGUAGGUAUAUACAUGCUGCAACCUGAGAUAGAAGCAAAGAGUAAAACACACUGCAAAAGGGCACGUAUGCUAUUUAAAUGUAUUAAAAACAGACAACAAAGCCUCUCCUGAAACAUGACAAGACUUAACUUUUUGUGCUUUUAAAAAGAGUAAUUAGAAAAGAGAACAAAGCAGGCUGUUUUCAGAAGCAUCAGAGCUGCUAGCAAAAACCUUUCUCCUCCUAAAACAUAAGAGACAAUGAGGGGAGAAAGGCAGAGGAGGGAGGGGAAGAUGAACUAGACAGGAUGAUACAAGGUAUUCUAGUAAAGAACAUAACAUGUCAGCAGAUAUCUUGGGCUCACUUGUGGAAAGUGUGAUCGCAUUUUUGGCAAUGCAAGUUCCAGCUACCACAGGCUGCGGAUGCCUGGAAAAGGGAAGGCAGUGUUGAAAAGGUUUUGUUUGGGGCUCAUUUGCUGCACCAGGUAGGGACUGUGCUGGUUUGCUUCAAAAGAGGAUGGGGAAACCACCAUCCCCAGAGUAUUUUUUUUUUUU